UGAGUACGAGCUGCUACGGCAGCGAAGUGGGUGAUGUCAAGCUUCCAAGAAAAGCCCUAUACCCGUUAAGGCAUGACGGCCUGUACCCGAAACCGACACAGGUGGGGUGGUAGAGAAUACCGAGGGGCGCGAGAUAACUCUCUCUAAGGAACUCGGCAAAAUGGCCCCGUAACUUCGGGAGAAGGGGUGCCACCGCAAGGUGGUCGCAGUGAAGAGGCCCAGGCGACUGUUUACCAAAAACACAGGUCUCCGCUAAGUCGCAAGACGAUGUAUGGGGGCUGACGCCUGCCCAGUGCCGGAAGGUUAAGGAAGCUGGUCAGCGCAAGCGAAGCUAGCGACUGAAGCCCCGGUGAACGGCGGCCGUAACUAUAACGGUCCUAAGGUAGCGAAAUUCCUUGUCGGGUAAGUUCCGACCCGCACGAAAGGCGUAACGAUCUGGGCGCUGUCUCGGAGAGAGGCUCGGCGAAAUAGAAUUGUCUGUGAAGAUGCGGACUACGUGCACCCGGACAGAAAGACCCUAUGAAGCUUUACUGUAGCUUGGUAUUGUGCCCGGGCUCUGAAUGCGCAGGAUAGGUGGGAGGCUUUGAUCCAUGGCUUGCGGGUCAUGGUGAGCCAACGGUGAGAUACCACUCUUUCAGAGCUAGGGUUCUAACAGCCACCCGUUAUCCGGGGGCUGGACAGUAUCAGGUGGGCAGUUUGACUGGGGCGGUCGCCUCCUAAAGGUAACGGAGGCGCGCAAAGGUUUGCUCAGGCUGGUUGGAAAUCAGCCGACGAGUGCAAAAGCAGAAGCAAGCUUGACUGUGAGACCAACAAGUCGAACAGGGACGAAAGUCGGCUUUAGUGAUCCGACGGUUCUGAGUGGAAGGGCCGUCGCUCAACGGAUAAAAGUUACUCUAAGGAUAACAGGCUGAUCUCCCCCAAGAGUUCACAUCGACGGGGAGGUUUGGCACCUCGAUGUCGGCUCAUCGCAACCUGGGGCUGAAGUCGGUCCCAAGGGUUGGGCUGUUCGCCCAUUAAAGCGGUACGCGAGCUGGGUUCAGAACGUCGUGAGACAGUUCGGUCCAUAUCCGGUGCAUGCGUAAGAACAUUGAGAGGAGUUCUCCCUAGUACGAGAGGACCGGGAGGAACGCACCUCUGGUGUACCAGUUAUCGUGCCAACGGUAAACGCUGGGUAGCCAUGUGCGGAGAGGAUAACCGCUGAAAGCAUCUAAGUGGGAAGCCCACCUCAAGAUGAGUGUUCUCAUGGCUUAAGCCAGUAAGGUCACGGGAAGAACACCCGUUGAUAGGCUCUACGUGGAAGCGCAGCAAUGUGUGAAGCGGAGGAGUACUAAUAGACCUAGGGC
Molecule: ribosomal RNA, 1343 nt
Filed under: metagenome
Description: bacterial LSU rRNA
Rfam family: Bacterial large subunit ribosomal RNA
Source: RNAcentral